AUGCCGGGUGCCCAUGGCCGCUGGCGAGAAAAAGAAGAGGUGUGUGCAUCCGGCUCCCUAGAGCCGGCUGAAGAAAAGGCUGGGUGCCCACGGCCGACCGGCAGAGAAAAAAAAGAAGUGUGCGCAUCCGGCUCCUCAGAGCCGGCUGAAGAAAAGGCCGGGUGCCCACGGCCGACCGACAGAGAAAAAGAAAGAAAUAUGCGUCCGACCGUUGUCUACCUGGCCGGCUGCAAAGAGCUCGACUGCUAUGUCGGAGUCCGCCUGCCCAGCCGGCUGAACAAGAAAAAGAAGAACACAAAGUAG
Molecule: ribosomal RNA, 303 nt
Filed under: Triticum aestivum (bread wheat)
Lineage: Eukaryota; Viridiplantae; Streptophyta; Magnoliopsida; Poales; Poaceae
Description: partial small subunit ribosomal RNA
Source: RNAcentral